CACCAGGUUGAUUCUGCCUGACGUAGAUGCUAGUCUCUAAGAUUAAGCCAUGCAUGUUUAUGUAAUAAGGACGAACAGCUCAGUAGAACUACGAUGAUUUAGUCUGUCUGAUAAAGAUAACUACGUGAAAAUGUAGCUAAGAGAGGACAGAAUAAGACGUAGGACUAUCAGUUAGUUGGUAGUGUAAUGGGCUACCAAGACUAUGACGGGUAACGGGGAAUCAGGGUUUGAUACCGGAGAGGGAGCCUGAGAGAUAGCUCCCACGUCCAAGGACGGCAGCAGGCGCGAAAA
RNAcentral lists this ribosomal RNA (291 nucleotides) under Microsporidium sp. BLAT1 FLA1. Its description in RNAcentral is "partial small subunit ribosomal RNA". It matches the Rfam family "Microsporidia small subunit ribosomal RNA", at positions 1 to 299 of the family's 1311-position model. The record is from RNAcentral. Lineage: Eukaryota; Fungi; Microsporidia.